GGCAGUUCUCGGGUAAUGCACCCCAGAAUUGGGCUGCCUCCUCUCUGGUUCCAGGUGUGUCACUCAAGAACUGCA
Myotis davidii is the source of this 75-nucleotide non-coding RNA. Lineage: Eukaryota; Metazoa; Chordata; Mammalia; Chiroptera; Vespertilionidae. The record is from Rfam.